This is a non-coding RNA of Dermacentor albipictus, 750 nucleotides long. The record is from RefSeq and is a predicted model, not a curated record. NCBI's taxonomy places the organism in Eukaryota, Metazoa, Arthropoda, Arachnida, Ixodida, Ixodidae.
UUUCCAAAGAAACGUGAUGGAGGCAAUGGAGAAUGGCUGCAAGCAGCUUGGUUACACUAUUCUGAGCUUUGGAGAGCCAGAAGAGAUUGUGGCAUUUUCCGAAGUGGGAUCCGAGGAUGCUGUUCUGGCAGUUCUGCAGUUUGUAGCAAAGCGCUGCAAGGAGCCCAUAGAUAGCAUCAUUACGCAGGAAGAAGCCCCGCUGACCCCGUGUCUGGUGCAGGAUGAAGGAUUUGCACUGCACAUCGACAAGCAACUAGUGUUUCAAGUCUCCUCGCUGCUUUCGGGAGUAGCCUGCCUCUUUGCAUCCUUUUGGGUGUUUUAUGUGGAAUACCCACGAAAGGCGCACAAAAUGUUAACAUUCAUAGAACAUGCAUUUCUGAACUUAACGCACACAAAGCCGCGCGUCAAAGCUCUUCAACUAAUCAAUUUUUUCAGAGGCCAUGCAGACUCCCUGGAAGAGCCAUAGGCUACUAACCAGUGGCCACACUCAUGGCCUAAUAAACUUCUUUGCAGCCGAUUCUUGUGUAGUUUCACAGCCCAAAUGAUGCUUUGGUCCAAGGGCUGGGCAAUCUGAUGUGUUAGGAAGCAGAAAUGCUAACUUCGCAGCUGCAAAGUUAUCUAGUGUGGUGUGCGCCGAUGCAUUUAGGAUAACUGCAAUUCUGUUCUUCGCUGCAACAUAGUGGUCAGUGAGGCGCAUGUACGCCUCAAAAAGCUUUGCAGUCCAUGCUUUUGUAUUGCUGCAGUAGACAA